UACAGUGAUCAGGUUAUGAUGG
Molecule: microRNA, 22 nt
Filed under: Monodelphis domestica (gray short-tailed opossum)
Lineage: Eukaryota; Metazoa; Chordata; Mammalia; Didelphimorphia; Didelphidae
Description: mdo-miR-1329-5p
Source: miRBase by way of RNAcentral